AAGAAUUGCAUUAAGGGCAGAUGGUGGAUGCCUUGGGAUAUCGAGGCGAUGAAGGACGUGGCGUGACUGCGAUAAGCCUCGGGGAGGUGUUUAGCAACCUUUGAUCCGGGGAUUUCCGAAUGGGGAAACCUGAGUGCCUCUUAGGCACUCGGUCCGCCGAUUAGGCGGACGGCGAACCCGCUGAAGUGAAACAUCUCAGUAAGCGGAGGAAAAGAAACCAAUGAUCAUAAAGAUCUUAUUCCCUUAGUAGCGGCGAGCGAAAAGGGAAGAGCCUAAACCAAACACAUAACUUGUUAUGUAUUUGGGGUUGUAAGGAAAUAUCGUCUGGAGCCGAGUACAUAAACUUUUAUGUGCUUGGUUCAAGAGGGAGAACACUUAGGUAAAGUUUCGUUAGUUGAAUGACCCUGGAAAGGGCAACCAAAGAGGGUAAUAGUCCCGUAAAUGAAAACGACUUUAUGCUCCUUGAUAUUUUACUUGAGUACCUUGGGAAAUGAAAAUCCUGAGGGAAGCAGGCCGAACUAUCGGCCAAGGCUAAAUACUACGAUAUCACCAAUAGUGAACCAGUACCGUGAGGGAAAGGUGAAAAGUAGCGAGGUGAUCGCGGUGAAAUAGAACCUGAAACCAUUUUGCCCACAAGGAGUCGGAGGGACGUAACGCGCAAGCGUGUACGUUCUGACGGCGUGCCUAUUGAAGAAUGAGCCAACGAGUUCGAGUACGUAGCUUGUCUAAAUCCUUUU
This 737-nucleotide ribosomal RNA is filed under the name bacterium. RNAcentral describes it as "partial 23S ribosomal RNA". It matches the Rfam family "Bacterial large subunit ribosomal RNA", at positions 1 to 657 of the family's 2925-position model. The record is from RNAcentral.